UACGAAGGGGGCUAGCGUUGCUCGGAAUCACUGGGCGUAAAGGGUGCGUAGGCGGGUCUUUAAGUCAGGGGGGAAAUCCUGGAGCUCAACUCCAGAACUGCCUUUGAUACUGAGGAUCUUGAGUCCGGGAGAGGUGAGUGGAACUGCGAGUGUAGAGGUGAAAUUCGUAGAUAUUCGCAAGAACACCAGUGGCGAAGGCGGCUCACUGGCCCGGUACUGACGCUGAGGCACGAAAGCGUGGGGAGCGAACAGG
RNAcentral lists this ribosomal RNA (253 nucleotides) under uncultured bacterium. RNAcentral's name for it is "partial 16S ribosomal RNA". It matches the Rfam family "Bacterial small subunit ribosomal RNA", at positions 524 to 776 of the family's 1533-position model. The record is from RNAcentral.